RNAcentral lists this ribosomal RNA (417 nucleotides) under uncultured Streptococcus sp. RNAcentral describes it as "bacterial SSU rRNA". It matches the Rfam family "Bacterial small subunit ribosomal RNA", at positions 30 to 385 of the family's 1533-position model. The record is from RNAcentral. Lineage: Bacteria; Bacillati; Bacillota; Bacilli; Lactobacillales; Streptococcaceae.
AUUGAACGCUGGCGGCAGGCUUAACACAUGCAAGUCGAACGGUAGCAGGAGAAAGCUUGCUUUCUUGCUGACGAGUGGCGGACGGGUGAGUAAUGCUUGGGAAUCUGGCUUAUGGAGGGGGAUAACUACGGGAAACUGUAGCUAAUACCGCGUAAUAUCGAAAGAUUAAAGUGUGGGACCUUCGGGCCACAUGCCAUAAGAUGAGCCCAAGUGGGAUUAGGUAGUUGGUGGGGUAAAGGCCUACCAAGCCGACGAUCUCUAGCUGGUCUGAGAGGAUGACCAGCCACACUGCAACUGAGACCGGUCCAACUCCUCCGGAGGCAGCACGGGGAAUAUGUUGCAUUAGCCUCACCUUUAUCCCCCAUUUCAGGCUUCUGCUGUUUGUUUUUCUUUAGCAUGACCGGCUCUUAGCUUCUG